UGUAUCUAUUUAAUUCUGGUUGUGGGAGACUAGGAAUAUUAUUUUACAUAGGAUUGUUGUAUGAUGUGAUUUGAGGUGUGUUUAUCCUCAAGAUCUUAGUAUUGAGGACUUAUUGUUCGAGGGAACUCGGAUUGGGUUAUUCUUGGUGGAGCGGUUAAUACACAGUGCCAGCAUCCGCGGUUAUUCUGUGGCUUAGGUCUCCGUGUCGGUUGAAAGGUUAUACGAGUAAUUAUGAGAUAGAUUAUAGGUUAAAUUUUGUCUUAAUGAAAAUGAUCUCGUGAUGGUGGAGGAAUGUCCUUAUUAAAGAAAAGGAUUAGAUACCCUUGUAUUUGGGAUGGAACUUUGUGUCCUUGAUUAACAAUCAAAAGGAUUUGGCAGCCAGCGAUGUUCCUCCGGGGGAGUGUGCGUAUGAAUAGAUGGUCCGCUUAGUAUCUUACCACUCUGUUAGGGCUAGUGUACAUCCGGUUUAAUACUCUUGGUUAGUGCUGGGGGUGUAAUAAUUAAUUGAAGCCAGGUCAAUGUGCUGCUUGUAGAGUGGGUUAUGUGCACUACAUUAUAAAGUUAGGGUUUGAUAUAUCCUUAGAUUCAGGACUCGGAAGUAGGUAGAGAUGAGUUCACUCUAUCGAAGUGUGAUUUAGUUGGGGUACAUACCGCCCGUCACCCAUGGCGUGAGCCGUGGUAAGUCGUAACAUGGUAGCGUUAGAUGAAUCUG
Molecule: ribosomal RNA, 712 nt
Filed under: Brachydistomum sp. PakPr2
Lineage: Eukaryota; Metazoa; Platyhelminthes; Trematoda; Plagiorchiida; Dicrocoeliidae
Description: 12S ribosomal RNA
Source: RNAcentral